CUUAAAGCUGAGCUCCGCCUCCUUCAUCAUGUUCAUCUUUAUCAACCUUCAAUUUCUUCUGCUUCAGCUUUGGGUGGUUGAUACAAUACCAUGGUUGUGCUGGUAUAAGGAUUAUUUCAGCUUGCAUGAUAUGCUUCCAGUUGUUUUUGGUGCUAACAUCAUGGUUCUCAUCUUCUGAGGUUUGCUUCCUUCUUCAACUAUAGCUGAGAUAAAGAUUAUGGGAUGCUCGAAACCACCGAUAGUUGAAAAAGAUCAAGUAACUCAGUCUCUUGAAUCUUAUAUGAUUUGUUGAUCCCCAAUCUGCUGAGAUUUCAUUUUUGUUGGCUAGUGUAGAUAGGCUAAUUAGCACUUUCACUUUUUUGUUUACCCUUCCAGGUUGUAAAUAUGAUGUAUGUGAAAAACCUUGUUGUAGCCCUUCCAGUCCCCUUAUCUUUUUGCUAAAACUAGCCUCAGAUAUGGGUAUUAUUGCUUGUCACUGUUAA
This is a long non-coding RNA of Capsicum annuum, 482 nucleotides long. RefSeq lists it as uncharacterized. NCBI's taxonomy places the organism in Eukaryota, Viridiplantae, Streptophyta, Magnoliopsida, Solanales, Solanaceae. The transcript has 3 exons. The record is from RefSeq and is a predicted model, not a curated record.